UUAAGUCAGGCAACGAGCGAGACCCGUGCCCACUGUUACCAGCAUGUCCUCCGGGACGAUGGGUACACUGUGGGGACCGCUGAUGUCAAAUCAGAGGAAGGUGCGGGCUACGGUAGGUCAGUAUGCCCCGAAUCUCCCGGGCUACACGCGGGCUACAAUGGUCGGGACAAUGGGUCCCUUCCCCGAAAGGGGUUGGCAAUCUCACAAACCCGUCCUUAGUUCGGAUCGAGGGCUGUAACUCGCCCUCGUGAAGCUGGAAUCCGUAGUAAUCGCGUUUCAACAUAGCGCGGUGAAUACGUCCCUGCUCCUUGCACA
RNAcentral lists this ribosomal RNA (315 nucleotides) under uncultured archaeon. Its description in RNAcentral is "bacterial SSU rRNA". It matches the Rfam family "Archaeal small subunit ribosomal RNA", at positions 1029 to 1343 of the family's 1478-position model. The record is from RNAcentral.